This 436-nucleotide ribosomal RNA is filed under the name uncultured Anaerovorax sp. RNAcentral describes it as "bacterial SSU rRNA". It matches the Rfam family "Bacterial small subunit ribosomal RNA", at positions 341 to 792 of the family's 1533-position model. Lineage: Bacteria; Bacillati; Bacillota; Clostridia; Peptostreptococcales; Anaerovoracaceae. The record is from RNAcentral.
ACGGAAGGCAGCAGUGGGGAGUAUUGCACAAUGGAGGGAACUCUGAUGCAGCAACGCCGCGUGAGUGAAGAAGGUCUUCGGAUCGUAAAACUCUGUCCUUAGGGACGAAGAAAGUGACGGUACCUAAGGAGGAAGCCCCGGCUAACUACGUGCCAGCAGCCGCGGUAAUACGUAGGGGGCGAGCGUUAUCCGGAAUUAUUGGGCGUAAAGAGUACGUAGGUGGUUUUGUAAGCGUAAGGUGAAAGCCCAGGGCUUAACUCCGGCGAGCCUUACGAACUGCAAGACUUGAGUGCAGGAGGGGAAAGUGGAAUUCCUAGUGUAGCGGUGAAAUGCGUAGAUAUUAGGAGGAACACCGGUGGCGAAGGCGACUUUCUGGACUGUAACUGACACUGAGGUACGAAAGCGUGGGGAGCAAACAGGAUUAGAUACCCUGGUA